RNAcentral lists this ribosomal RNA (318 nucleotides) under uncultured Lachnospiraceae bacterium. RNAcentral describes it as "bacterial SSU rRNA". It matches the Rfam family "Bacterial small subunit ribosomal RNA", at positions 28 to 339 of the family's 1533-position model. Lineage: Bacteria; Bacillati; Bacillota; Clostridia; Lachnospirales; Lachnospiraceae. The record is from RNAcentral.
GAUGAACGCUGGCGGCGUGCCUAACACAUGCAAGUCGAACGGGGUUUAGAUGAAACCUAGUGAUUCUAAACCUAGUGGCGGACGGGUGAGUAACGCGUGGGUAACCUGCCGUAUGCAGGGGGACAACAGUUGGAAACGACUGCUAAUACCGCAUAAGCGCACAGCUUCACAUGGAGCAGUGUGAAAAGAUUUAUCGGCAUACGAUGGACCCGCGUCUGAUUAGCUAGUUGGUGAGGUAACGGCCCACCAAGGCGACGAUCAGUAGCCGGCCUGAGAGGGUGAACGGCCACAUUGGGACUGAGACACGGCCCAAACUCC